UUAAGCAACCUCAUUGACUUUGAUCAACCUUUGUAAUUGCCGGUGAAGAUCCUUCAGCUUUUGCAAUUGCACCUCUUUAUAUAUAUAUAUAAAGAAAGAAGAUAAUUCCACUUUUCCCUACUCCCUGGCUACAUUAUGAACCAUCUGACUAACAGAUUUAGCUGGUAUGCUAAACAAACAUAUGCCUCUGACCCUCUUUAAAUGGAAGCUUUUGAAACAACAGGGGCAGGGGUACAGUGCGUUGACUUCACCAACUCGCAGCAUGUGCACACUUUUGUGUAAAUCACUCUCUUUUACAGUCUCUGCGUGUGGGAAUGCAGUAAAGAGUGAGGGAUAAGAAAUGCAAUGCGACCCACGUCUGGCUCUCGUAGAAUGGCUCGAAUUUAAACCUUUGAGCGAAAAGACCAUUUUGAGACACUGAGACACAUGUGUUUGCACAUAAAUUACCAUGUAUGCAUGCAUACGCACGCACAGGCAACAAACAAAAAACACACCCAAGGAUGGUGAGUGUUAACUACGCAUGCAAGCUCGCAUCCACUUAGACAUUCGCUCACACACAUAAAUAAGCACUGUUUUACAAGCACACACACACACACACACACACACACACACACACACAUCUGCCAUUGCAAUUCACAUGAUCAUUGCCUUUAUGUGAAUGAGACAGGGAAUUGCAGAAUGGCAGAAGCGGAGGCCUCAUAUUAGCCGUGCUGUCAGAGCCGGUGAGCAAAGGAUAACAUUAACAUGAGCGCUGCUGCUCCCCCUGUGUGCAUCAACGCCAGAGCUCAGUAGGUGCACGGCCGUAAGCAGUGUCCGCCAGCCUUUUCGUUAAGUCAAUGAUAAACUGCUUUUAUUAGUUACCUUUUUACAGCGUGCUUUCGCUGAGAGUUGAGGUUUCUUUGUCAAUACUGGCAAUAAUGCAGCCUCCAAUUAACUUAUAAAACCUUCCCGGACUCCUUUGUCACUCCUUUGAGAAGGGAAAACGGCCAAGGUUUGGCUCACUAAAAAAAACAAAUGACAGCCUACAAAACAAAUGUGGCACUACAAUCGGGUAUUAAAAGGCUUGACAUUUACCAUGCCUCAUUUAAAUGGUCGCCCGUACUCAGCUCAUUGGCAGCCCCCCAUUACACUGGGUAGAGCAGGAGUGCGAAGGCCGGGGCUGGGCCGGGCAGAGAGAGUGGGGCGAGACGUUAACGGCCUGUGGGAGGAUAGUUCUGUAGAUGAAUGAACACCUGGAUUAAUGGGGUCAUUGAGCACCAAGCUGCUGAGAAAGGAGAAUCCCAGCCAAGGCAGCCAUUUUACUUUUACUGCAUGUGUCAUGGACCGUUUUCCUCUGCUGGUUUUAGAGGGGGCAGCAGCAGGGUCCCAUGGGGUACAAGAGAGCAAAGAAAGGACAUUUUGGACCAGAGUACUUUUGUAUUGGACAUGAGCAGUAGGGGCGCUGGUUAUACAGUUCUGAUUUCAUGAACCCAAGAGCAUUUUAGUGAUGCAUCCAGAUUUCUUCAAUUUCUUCAAAAAAUAGAAAAGUAAUGAAUUGAUCUGGAAGUGAACGCACCUGAACCUUCCUAAAGUUCUAUCAUUGUGAAAAGAUUUACCGUCUUCACAUUCGCACCUGUGUCUUGGUCGUGAUAUUUUAACAAAUCACUUAACAAAAUACGCACUUUUGUCUUUUGGGAAUACCGUUCUAAUAGAAAACCUCGACUCCUCUGAGAAAGUGAUUUCCAACGUGAGCUAAACAGGGAAGGUGCCGGCCCUUUAAACUGAGCUCCGAGAGCUUGGCAGGCUAAUAGAUGCAGUCUAAAGGUGCUCGUGGAUGGCAACCAGAAAAAAAUGGUCUUAUCUGAAAAGGUCCAGGACAGUUAUAAAUGAAAUAAUGGGGCUGAGCACAUUAAUCCAUGUUCAUGCCUUAGGGGGAGACCUCGGCUUACCAUUUGAUCUGUGUGUGAGUGCAUGUAUACAGAUCUGUGUGUGUGUGUGUGUGUGUGUGUGUGCAUGUAUAUUUGCAUUUGCAAGUUACUAAUCCAUUUCAUUCAUUUGUUCCCCUCCUUCAAUCAUUUUCUUUUAAAAUAAACAGCAAUUGUUUCAUUACACUUUCGAACUUGCCUUUACUCAGUCCAUGAAAAAAAGGAAAGAGAGGGAGGAGGGUGAAAUUGAGUGAGCGAUAGAAACAAAGAAGGAAAA
Molecule: long non-coding RNA, 2181 nt
Organism: Gasterosteus aculeatus aculeatus (three-spined stickleback)
Lineage: Eukaryota; Metazoa; Chordata; Actinopteri; Perciformes; Gasterosteidae
Source: Ensembl